CGGGGUAUAGUGUAGCGGCAACACGGGUCGUUCGGGUCGAUCAGACGCUGGGUUCGACUCCCAGUACCCCGA
RNAcentral lists this transfer RNA (72 nucleotides) under bacterium. Its description in RNAcentral is "tRNA-Pro". It matches the Rfam family "tRNA". From Rfam's summary of the family: Transfer RNA (tRNA) molecules are approximately 80 nucleotides in length. The record is from RNAcentral.